CCUACGGGCGGCUGCAGUGGGGAAUAUUGCACAAUGGGCGCAAGCCUGAUGCAGCCAUGCCGCGUGUGUGAAGAAGGCCUUCGGGUUGUAAAGCACUUUCAGCGGGGAGGAAGGCGUUAAGGUUAAUAACCUUGUCGAUUGACGUUACCCGCAGAAGAAGCACCGGCUAACUCCGUGGCCAGCAGCCGCGGUAAUACGGAGGGUGCAAGCGUUAAUCGGAAUUACUGGGCGUAAAGCGCACGCAGGCGGUCUGUCAAGUCGGAUGUGAAAUCCCCGGGCUCAACCUGGGAACUGCAUUCGAAGCUGGCAGGCUAGAGUCUUGUAGAGGGGGGUAGAGGGCCAGGUGUAGCGGUGAAAUGCGUAGAGAUCUGGAGGAAUACCGGUGGCGAAGGCGGCCCCCUGGACAAAGACUGACGCUCAGGUGCGAAAGCGUGGGGAGCAAACAGGAUUAGAUACCCCGGUAGUC
Molecule: ribosomal RNA, 466 nt
Filed under: uncultured Klebsiella sp.
Lineage: Bacteria; Pseudomonadati; Pseudomonadota; Gammaproteobacteria; Enterobacterales; Enterobacteriaceae
Description: bacterial SSU rRNA
Rfam family: Bacterial small subunit ribosomal RNA
Source: RNAcentral